This 508-nucleotide ribosomal RNA is filed under the name uncultured soil bacterium. RNAcentral describes it as "bacterial SSU rRNA". It matches the Rfam family "Bacterial small subunit ribosomal RNA", at positions 26 to 516 of the family's 1533-position model. The record is from RNAcentral.
AGAACGAACGCUGGCGGCGUGGAUAAGACAUGCAAGUCGAACGGGAUUACUUUUGUAGCAAUACAGAAGUAAUUCAGUGGCGAACGGGUGCGUAACACGUGGGCAAUCUGCCGAAAAGUGGGGGAUAGCUCGCCGAAAGGCGAAUUAAUACCGCAUGUGGUGAGGGACGACAUCGUCCUGAAUCCAAAGCCGGGGUCAAACCUGGCGCUUUUUGAGGAGCCCGCGGCCUAUCAGCUUGUUGGUGAGGUAACGGCCCACCAAGGCUUUGACGGGUAGCUGGUCUGAGAGGACGACCAGUCACACUGGAACUGAGACACGGUCCAGACACCUACGGGUGGCAGCAGUCGAGAAUUUUCUCAAUGGGGGCAACCUGAAGGAGCGACGCCGCGUGGAGGAUGAAGGCUUUCGGUGUAAACUCCUGUCAUUUGAGAACAAGGGCCGAAUUAACUACUUACGGCCUUGACUAGUAUCAAGAAGAGGAAGGACGGACUAACGUCUGUCGACCGUA